This is a small nuclear RNA of Macaca fascicularis (crab-eating macaque), 107 nucleotides long. Lineage: Eukaryota; Metazoa; Chordata; Mammalia; Primates; Cercopithecidae. The record is from Ensembl.
UUGCUCACUUUGGUAGCACAUAUACUAAAAUUGAAAUGAUACAGAGAAGAUUAGCAUGGCCUCUGUGCAAGGAUGACAUGCAAAUUUGUGAAGCAUUUCAUAUUUUU